GGGGGCGCAAUGGUUUCGACGGGGGCAAGUUGCUCCUGGGAAGCGAGUCGAAGGAAUCCUGCACCUGCGUUAAAAAACUGGGAACUUAAAUAUAAUCGCAAACGAUAAUUUUGCAUUAGCUGCCUAAUAGUUGCAGCUCGUCAGCCUAAGAGUCCCACGACUUAGGGCCUGGCGUCGACAGUGGGGAACCGCGCCUUACAAAGCUUUGAGUAAGGAACGGAAUUAAUGAAGCUACUAAAUCUAAGAGCCUGUUUAUCGGCGCUUAGAGGAGGGAAUGUAAAAGGAUAAACUGCACUCGGAGAUGCUCAGGGGUUGCUGCUUUCGGACAGGGGUUCGAUUCCCCUCGCCUCCACCA
RNAcentral lists this transfer-messenger RNA (355 nucleotides) under Clostridium botulinum. It matches the Rfam family "transfer-messenger RNA". From Rfam's summary of the family: Bacterial tmRNA, also known as 10Sa RNA or SsrA, is named for its dual tRNA and mRNA-like properties. Its role is to liberate the mRNA from a stalled ribosome. To accomplish this part of the tmRNA is used as a reading frame that ends in a translation stop signal. Lineage: Bacteria; Bacillati; Bacillota; Clostridia; Eubacteriales; Clostridiaceae. RNAcentral also lists the same sequence under 2 other names. The record is from RNAcentral.